GAAACUUUGAUAUAUUUGUUGAACGCCACGUUUCAGACCGUUGCAGUUUUAUAUAAUUAUAUAAAUUCUUUCCUUAUUCUUUUUUAAAGUCUCUCGGUUUUCUUCACUCUUACACCCUCGCAAGAAACUCAAAAGAAACAAUCUCGAAUUCUGCAGUUUUUUUUUUGAAAUUUUAUCUCGAAGAUUUCAUUCAUUCUUGGGCGCUCUUUCUCUCUGAUACAUCACGCGAUCCUUCGCUGUGCAUUUUCUUAUGUUCUGUUUUAUUUUAUUUUUUUAUAUUUGUUUCUGAGAUCUUAUUUUUGUCCCUCGACUGAAUUCAGGUAUCUUCGGCCCCUUUUGAUUUGUCACUGAAUUCUAUGGCGUUUAGGGCUUUUAACCAUGAAACCAGAAGAUUGCUUUUGAGAGAAUGGGGAAAUGGGGGUGAUUCUAGAGAACAUACCAUGUUACCCUCUACAAGAAUUGUGAUUGAGACCGUAAUCUAUCAUUCUGUCGUUUUGGAGUUUGAAUUCAUCGUAAUCUAUCUUUCCGUGGUUUUGGAGUUUGAAUUCAUGGGAGAUCGGUUCAUCCCUGUUCGGGCUGCAAUGGACAUGGAUGUCUCCUCAUAUUUGCUGCGAUCAAAGAAUCGGAAUAGUGAAAUGGUGGUUUCACCAUCUAAGGAAGAGUAUCGGAAACGGCUUGCUAAUAUUGUGUUAAAGGAUCACAACACUUCCGAAAAUCAUACUCGAAUCUUACAAUUUCAUGCAAAGCCUUGCAAACGCAAACAAAGCAGUGCUUUAGCUGAUGAUGAAGAACUGCUCCAAAUUCCUAAGAAACCACGUAAAUUGCUUCGCCAUAUUCCACAGACAGCUGAACGCACUCUUGAUGCUCCGGAUAUUGUGAAUGACUACUAUCUCAAUUUGCUCGACUGGAGCACAACAAAUGUUGUGGCAAUUGGCCUUGGGAAUACUGUGUAUUUGUGGAAUGCUUCCAAUUCUGCAAUAAACGAGCUGACGCAAGUUCACGAAGAUGAUGGGCCAAUUACAAGUGUUGCAUGGGCUCAAGAUGGGAAUCAUAUUGCUGUUGGUUUGAACAAUUCUGAAGUUCAAAUUUGGGAUCACUCAACAAUGAAAAAGGUGAGAUCCAUGAGGGGCCAUUCAGCUCGUGUUGGAUCAUUGGCAUGGCAUGGGUCCACAUUAUGCACAGGUGGUCGUGAUAGCAAAAUAUUGUAUCAUGAUGUACGCAAUAGAAAUCACAUCACAUCCCAACUGAGCGCUCAUGAACAAGAAGUGUGCGGGUUAAAGUGGUCACUAUGUGGUAAACAACUUGCUAGUGGGGGCAAUGACAACCUUCUUUAUAUAUGGGAUUCACGUUCCAUUACAUCUAGUCGGCAUCUCUUUCGUUUUGAUCAACACAAAGCAGCUGUGAAGGCUUUGGCUUGGUGUCCUUACCAAACCAAUUUGUUAGCUUCUGGUGGUGGUACAACUGAUAGAUGUAUCAAAUUUUGGAACACUCAGAGGGGCAUGCUUCUUAACAGCAUAGAUACAGGUUCUCAAGUAUGUUCACUGCAGUGGAAUCAUCAUGAACAAGAAAUCCUAAGCUCUCAUGGGUUUAGUGAAAAUCAACUUAUAUUGUGGAAGUAUCCAUCUAUGAGAAAGAUUACCGAAAUUAUGGGGCACACUUCUCGGGUUUUACAUAUGGCACAGAGUCCAGAUGGCUUUACAGUAGCAACUGCUGCUGCAGAUGAAACACUGCGAUUUUGGCAGGUGUUUGGACCAGCAGUCAGUACAACAACUCCAAGGAAGGGAAAAGAAAAAGAGACAGGAUUUUCUUCUUUCAAUCACGCUUAUAUAAGAUGAGUGUGCAGAUUUUGGUAUUGAUGUUUGUUGUCAUGGCCGAAGAGAUGAAGCAAAAGAUGUCGUGAUUACAACACCUAGAAGAAAAUGUAGAAGAUAAUUUAUUCUAGAUGGACAUGCAAUUUAGAUCAAUGGUUAUUGUUAUGUAUUUAUACUGGACGGAACGGGAAAUUACAUCUGGUUAUCCUUGUCUUGUAUUUAUCCGAAUGUGACACAUAAUUACUUCAGGUUGCUUCUUAUAUCCAACAUUUUGGUUAAAAAAAAAGAAGAAGGAAUCGUGAACCAUCCCAUAGAACCCAAUUCAGAUGAGGAGAUGAUAGCAGUUCAUUUUUUCUAGAAAGCAGGUAAGCUACAAUCCAAAUUUUGGAUGUUGUGUUGCCUUAAUGCCCCGAAUCCAACAAAGUCAAGAGAGGGACAAGGGAAUAAUGCCAUCUUUAGGGGUGGAGAACACCACUCCGGCACCGCCUCUCUCUGACUGGAAAGCCCCAUGAAAGUACGUCUUCCAGUCGUUUGGUGCUUCUGUAUAGAACACUUUUUCAUCCAGGAGGUCAUUUGAUAAGGGAGAAUCUGACAGUAAGGGAUGUGCAGCUAGAGAGUCGGCUAGGGCUUGGCCUUUGAUGGCUUCUGCGGCACAUAAGUUAUGUCAAAUUCCAUAAGUAAUAGUGACCACUUCGCCAGAUGUCCCGAUAAACAAGGGCGCGGCAUGAGGAAUUUGAUGGGGUCAGCUCAUGAAAUGAGUUGGACUUCAUGGGCGAGCAAGUAGUGGCGGAGCUUUUGGACCGCGAAGAUCAAGCCCAGGCACAUCUUCUCAAUCGGGAAGUAAUUCUUCUCAGCCCCUUGCAUCCUACGACUAAGGUAGUACAAGGCGGUCUCUUUCCCUUCUUCAUUAUGCUGUGCGAGGAGAGCACCAAGUGCCUCAUCUAGAGUGGUCACACGUAGAAUGAGAGCCUUCCCGGGUAUAGGAGCAGAAACAACCGGAGGGUUCAAUAGAUAGGUUUUGAUGUCCACCAAAGCCAACUAUGCACCUAUUGACAUACUUUGUAACUUGUCCAAAUAAUCCUUACGCAUUUUUGAAGCAUGCCUAUUGACAUACUUUGUAGUUUGUCCAAAUCCUUGAGCAUUUUUGGAUUUGUAUGUAUAUUAUGGAUGGAUAAAGAAAGGCAUAAUACCUCUUUUACUAUUUUAGAGUCAUAAUUUGGACUUUUAAAUACUUUGUAACUUGUCCAAUAAUCCUUAAGCAUUUUUGGAACAUGCCUAUUGACAUACUUUGUAACUUGUCCAAAUAAUCCUUGAGCAUUUUUGGAUUUGUAUGUAUAUUAUGGAUGGAUGCAGAAAGGCAUAAUACCUCUUUUACUAUUUUAGAGUCCUAAUUUGGACUUUUAAAUACUUUGUAACUUGUCCGUAUAAUCCUUAAGCAUUUUUGGAA
Molecule: non-coding RNA, 3258 nt
Organism: Amborella trichopoda
Lineage: Eukaryota; Viridiplantae; Streptophyta; Magnoliopsida; Amborellales; Amborellaceae
Source: RefSeq, a predicted model, not a curated record